Molecule: ribosomal RNA, 417 nt
Filed under: uncultured bacterium
Lineage: Bacteria
Description: bacterial SSU rRNA
Rfam family: Bacterial small subunit ribosomal RNA
Source: RNAcentral
AGGAAUAUUGGUCAAUGGACGCAAGUCUGAACCAGCCAUGCCGCGUGAAGGAUGAAGGCCCUCUGGGUUGUAAACUUCUUUUAUCUGGGACGAAACCUCUUAUUCUUAAGAGACUGACGGUACCAGAGGAAUAAGCACCGGCUAACUCCGUGCCAGCAGCCGCGGUAAUACGGAGGGUGCAAGCGUUAUCCGGAUUCACUGGGUUUAAAGGGUGCGUAGGAGGGUUGGUAAGUCAGUGGUGAAAUCUCCGAGCUUAACUUGGAAACUGCCGUUGAUACUAUCAAUCUUGAAUAUCGUGGAGGUGAGCGGAAUAUGUCAUGUAGCGGUGAAAUGCUUAGAUAUGACAUAGAACACCAAUUGCGAAGGCAGCUCGCUACACGAAUAUUGACUCUGAGGCACGAAAGCGUGGGGAUCAAA